GUCCUGGCCCUAAACGGUGCUCACUUGGUGUAGGAGGGAAUCGACCCCUUCUGUGCCGAAGCUAACGCAUUAAGUGAGCCGCCUGGGGAGUACGGUCGCAAGAUUAAAACUCAAAGAAAUUGACGGGGGCCCGCACAAGCGGUGGAGCAUGUGGCUUAAUUCGAUGCAACGCGAAGAACCUUACCUGGCCUUGACAUGUACGUAGUAGAAACCGAAACGGUGACGAGGUAGCAAUACCAGCGUACACAGGUGCUGCAUGGCUGUCGU
Molecule: ribosomal RNA, 267 nt
Filed under: uncultured bacterium
Lineage: Bacteria
Description: partial 16S ribosomal RNA
Rfam family: Bacterial small subunit ribosomal RNA
Source: RNAcentral